GAUGAAGAACGUAGCGAAAUGCGAUAAGUAAUGUGAAUUGCAGAAUUCAGUGAAUCAUCGAAUCUUUGAACGCACAUUGCGCCCGCCAGCAUUCUGGCGGGCAUGCCUGUUCGAGCGUCAUUUCAACCCUCGACUUCCCUUUGGGGAAAUCGGCGUUGGGGACUGGCAGCAUACCGCCGGCCCCGAAAUGGAGUGGCGGCCCGUCCGCGGCGACCUCUGCGUAGUAAUCCAACCUCGCACCGGAACCCCGACGUGGCCACGCCGUAAAACACCCCACUUUCUGAACGUUGACCUCGGAUCAGGUAGGAAUACCCGCUGAACUUGAGCAUAUCAAUAAGCGGAGGA
RNAcentral lists this unclassified non-coding RNA (345 nucleotides) under soil metagenome. RNAcentral's name for it is "partial contains 5.8S ribosomal RNA, internal transcribed spacer 2, and large subunit ribosomal RNA". The stretch from base 1 to 120 matches the Rfam family "5.8S ribosomal RNA", at positions 35 to 154 of the family's 154-position model. The record is from RNAcentral.